GACGAACGCUGGCGGCGUGCUUAACACAUGCGAGUCGAACGGAAAGGCCCUGCUUUUGUGGGGUGCCCGAGUGGCGAACGGGUGAGUAACACGUGAGUAACCUGCCCUUGACUUUGGGAUAACUUCAGGAAACUGGGGCUAAUACCGGAUAGGAGCUCCUGCUGCAUGGGGGGGGUUGGAAAGUUUCGGCGGUUGGGGAUGGACUCGCGGCUUAUCAGCUUGUUGGUGGGGUAGUGGCUUACCAAGGCUUUGACGGGUAGCCGGCCUGAGAGGGUGACCGGCCACAUUGGGACUGAGAUACGGCCCAGACUCCUACGGGUGGCAGCAGUGGGGAAUAUUGCACAAUGGGCGGAAGCCUGAUGCAGCAACGCCGCGUGCGGGAUGACGGCCUUCGGGUUGUAAACCGCUUUCGCCUGUGACGAAGCGUGAGUGACGGUAAUGGGUAAAGAAGCACCGGCUAACUACGUG
RNAcentral lists this ribosomal RNA (468 nucleotides) under uncultured bacterium. RNAcentral's name for it is "partial 16S ribosomal RNA". It matches the Rfam family "Bacterial small subunit ribosomal RNA", at positions 28 to 507 of the family's 1533-position model. The record is from RNAcentral.